AUUGAACGCUGGCGGCAGGCCUAACACAUGCAAGUCGAGCGGAUGAAGGGAGCUUGCUCCUGGAUUCAGCGGCGGACGGGUGAGUAAUGCCUAGGAAUCUGCCUGGUAGUGGGGGAUAACGUCCGGAAACGGGCGCUAAUACCGCAUACGUCCUGAGUGAGAAAGUGGGGGAUCUUCGGACCUCACGCUAUCAGAUGAGCCUAGGUCGGAUUAGCUAGUUGGUGGGGUAAAGGCCUACCAAGGCGACGAUCCGUAACUGGUCUGAGAGGAUGAUCAGUCACACUGGAACUGAGACACGGUCCAGACUCCUACGGGAGGCAGCAGUGGGGAAUAUUGGACAAUGGGCGGAAGCCUGAUCCAGCCAUGCCGCGUGUGUGAAGAAGGUCUUCGGAUUGUAAAGCACUUUAAGUUGGGAGGAAGGGCAGUAAGUUAAUACCUUGCUGUUUUGACGUUACCAACAGAAUAAGCACCGGCUAACUUCGUG
RNAcentral lists this ribosomal RNA (484 nucleotides) under uncultured bacterium. RNAcentral's name for it is "partial 16S ribosomal RNA". It matches the Rfam family "Bacterial small subunit ribosomal RNA", at positions 30 to 507 of the family's 1533-position model. The record is from RNAcentral.